ACGGGUGAGUAACGCGUGGGUAACCUACCCUGUACACACGGAUAACAUACCGAAAGGUAUGCUAAUACGGGAUAAUAUAUUUGAGAGGCAUCUCUUGAAUAUCAAAGGUGAGCCAGUACAGGAUGGACCCGCGUCUGAUUAGCUAGUUGGUAAGGUAACGGCUUACCAAGGCGACGAUCAGUAGCCGACCUGAGAGGGUGAUCGGCCACAUUGGAACUGAGACACGGUCCAAACUCCUACGGGAGGCAGCAGUGGGGAAUAUUGCACAAUGGGCGAAAGCCUGAUGCAGCAACGCCGCGUAAGUGAUGAAGGCCUUCGGGUCGUAAAACUCUGUCCUCAAGGAAGAUAAUGACGGUACUUGAGGAGGAAGCCCCGGCUAACUACGUGCCAGCAGCCGCGGUAAUACGUAGGGGGCUAGCGUUAUCCGGAUUUACUGGGCGUAAAGGGUGCGUAGGCGGUCUUUCAAGUCAGGAGUGAAAGGCUACGGCUCAACCGUAGUAAGCUCUUGAAACUGGGAGACUUGAGUGCAGGAGAGGAGAGUGGAAUUCCUAGUGUAGCGGUGAAAUGCGUAGAUAUUAGGAGGAACACCAGUUGCGAAGGCGGCUCUCUGGACUGUAACUGACGCUGAGGCACGAAAGCGUGGGGAGCAAACAGGAUUAGAUACCCUGGUAGUCCACGCUGUAAA
This 685-nucleotide ribosomal RNA is filed under the name uncultured bacterium. RNAcentral describes it as "bacterial SSU rRNA". It matches the Rfam family "Bacterial small subunit ribosomal RNA", at positions 102 to 806 of the family's 1533-position model. The record is from RNAcentral.